Molecule: long non-coding RNA, 221 nt
Filed under: Mytilus galloprovincialis (Mediterranean mussel)
Lineage: Eukaryota; Metazoa; Mollusca; Bivalvia; Mytilida; Mytilidae
Source: RNAcentral
UCUUGCUACUUACAAUUUUCUCUAUCUAUAAUAAACUUGGCUCUUAAGUAACAGAGGAAAAUGUUUUGUAAAAAUUUACAAAAAUUUACCAAAUUAAUGAAAAUUGUUAAAAAUUGACUAUAAAGGGCAAUAACUCCUUAAGGGGUCAAAUGACCAUUUUGGUCAAGUUGACUUAUUUGUAGAUCUUACUUUGCUGAACAUUAUUGCUGUUUACAGUUUAU